AGCGGCGAGUGAAGCGGCAAAAGCUCAGAUUUGAAAUCGUGUUUCGGCACGAGUUGUAGAGUGUAGGCGGGAGUCUCUGUGGAGCGCGGUGUCCAAGUCCCUUGGAACAGGGUGCCUGAGAGGGUGAGAGCCCCGUAGGGUGCUGCGCGAAGCUUUUGAGGCCCUGCUGACGAGUCGAGUUGUUUGGGAAUGCAGCUCCAAGCGGGUGGUAAAUUCCAUCUAAGGCUAAAUAUUGGCGAGAGACCGAUAGCGAACAAGUACUGUGAAGGAAAGAUGAAAAGCACUUUGAAAAGAGAGUGAAACAGCACGUGAAAUUGUUGAAAGGGAAGGGUAUUGGGCUCGACAUGGGGGGUGCGCACCGCUGUCUCUUGUAGGCGGCGCUCUGGGCGCCCUCUGGGCCAGCAUCGGUUCCUGCUGCGGGAGAAGGGGCUCCGGAAAGUGGCUCUUCGGAGUGUUAUAGCCGGGGCCAGAUGCCGCGUGUGGGGACCGAGGACUGCGGCUUCUGUCUCGGAUGCUGGCAUAACGGCGCAAUACCGC
This 537-nucleotide ribosomal RNA is filed under the name Pichia manshurica. Its description in RNAcentral is "partial large subunit ribosomal RNA". It matches the Rfam family "Eukaryotic large subunit ribosomal RNA", at positions 85 to 648 of the family's 3401-position model. Lineage: Eukaryota; Fungi; Ascomycota; Pichiomycetes; Pichiales; Pichiaceae. The record is from RNAcentral.